GAUGAACGCUGGCGGCGUGCCUAACACAUGCAAGUCGAGCGAACAGACGAGGCGUUUGCUGCUCUGACGUGUGCGGCGGGCGGGUGAGACACAUGAGUAUACCGUACCUAUAAGUGUGGGAUCAUUACGGGACACCGGAUAUUACACCGUAGGAUAUAUUGAAGCGUGGGGUUGGUUGGUAAGAUUCGGCUGUUGUGGAUCUACUAGAUGGUUCCGCGCCGGUUUAGCUAGUUGGUACGGUAACAGCCUACUAAGGCGAGGAUGCGUAGCCGAACUGAGAGGGUGAUCGGCGACACUGGAACUGAGACACGGUCCAGACUCCUACGGGAGGCAGCAGUAGGGUAUCGUCCGCAGUGGGCGAAAGCCUGACGGAGCAACGCCGCGUGAGUGAUGACGGUCUUCGGAUCGUAAAGCUGUGUUACGAGGGAAGAACAGAUGUGUACUGAACCAUGGCCGUCUUGACGGUACCGAAUCAAAAAGCAACGGCUAACUACGUG
Molecule: ribosomal RNA, 497 nt
Filed under: uncultured bacterium
Lineage: Bacteria
Description: partial 16S ribosomal RNA
Rfam family: Bacterial small subunit ribosomal RNA
Source: RNAcentral